UACGUAGGGUGCGAGCGUUACUCGGAAUUACUGGGCGUAAAGAGCGCGCAGGCGGUCGUUCAAGUCGAGUGUGAAAGCCCCCGGCUCAACUGGGGAGGGUCAUUCGAUACUGAUCGACUCGAAGGCAGGAGAGGGAAGUGGAAUUCCCGGUGUAGUGGUGAAAUGCGUAGAUAUCGGGAGGAACACCAGUGGCGAAGGCGACUUCCUGGCCUGUUCUUGACGCUGAGGCGCGAAAGCUAGGGGAGCAAACGGG
RNAcentral lists this ribosomal RNA (253 nucleotides) under uncultured bacterium. Its description in RNAcentral is "partial 16S ribosomal RNA". It matches the Rfam family "Bacterial small subunit ribosomal RNA", at positions 524 to 776 of the family's 1533-position model. The record is from RNAcentral.